Molecule: long non-coding RNA, 2538 nt
Organism: Carassius gibelio (silver crucian carp)
Lineage: Eukaryota; Metazoa; Chordata; Actinopteri; Cypriniformes; Cyprinidae
Exons: 2
Source: RefSeq, a predicted model, not a curated record
CAUUAUCUGCCUAUAAAAAAUGAUUUUGCAAUUGUAACUUUUUCCAGUAUUUUAUUGUUAGAUGUUACUUGGCAGGGCAGUUCUAGGGUGAGUGGAUAUCCGGGGCUUAGUCCAGAGACAUUUAUGUAUGUGUCAGAAUACACAGGAUACACUUAGGCCUAACUAAAUAAAUAUUACAUUGGCUACGUGGCAUAAGGUUUUUAAAGAGACAUGUAUAGUAUAGUUUAAUUAAUUAUCAUUUGUAGGCCUACUUACAAACUGCAUAAAUAAUAUUAUAAGAUUAAUGGUCUAGAUAGAAAACUUAAAACACAGAAAAAAAGAAAUGUCAGAAAACAUAAAAUGCUUUUAAAGUGAGACUGCAACUGCCAGCAGGUGGCAGCAAGCUCCUGUUUUAAUGUCUGAUUCGUUGAGUCAUUUAUUCAAUCGAUUCAUUGUCUAAUUUGGUGAGCCAGGUCUCAUGAAAAUCUGCAUUUGACAUACUAUUUAUGUGCACUUUUAUGAGAUCUGGUUACAUUUGGCACGGUCUCCCUGCCGCACUAAUAGCAGUAAGGCUUUCCUCUGUGUAUACAUAGAAGUACAAUUUUAGCUGUAUUAUUUGUCCCCUUCAAAAAUCACUCUUUAGAAAUGUUAUGUUUAUUCCCCCCCCCCCCCCCCCAAUUGUUAGACAAAAUGUACUCAUACUCAUACCUCAAAACUCAUACCUCAAGAAUUUAAGAAUAUCACAACCCUUAUUAAUUGAUUUAUGCUUACUAAACACUCAAGUCCAGUGUAACGAGAUAAAGAAUAUGCAGAUAUAAUAAAAAUAAAUAAACAAUAAUAAAAUAAAAUUGUGUGUGAGAUUUGUGCUUAUGUAUGAUUUUUCUCAGUCAGAUUCACAGUGGUGUCAACCCAAUGUUUUUAACCUAGAGUGUAGGCUUGGUGGAUAAAGAAACCAGAUAGGGCACAUUUUACCCACAUUUCCUUUGGCUUUGAGCUGCCAGAAAAGCUCCAUAUAGUCAGGCAACAUGAAAGUUCUCAGUUCUAUGCAAGGAAUGCUAAAAUGUGUCACAACUUACCCCACCCUGUCAUCUAAUGUUCUGUUAGCUGUAGGCUAUUAGCAUAACCAUUUGAAAUUAGCAGUUUAAAAAUGCAUCACAAUUUGCCCUGAGAAUCUACAAUGUAUUUUAAAGUAAGUUACACGAUUUAAUCUGCAACAGUUUAAUAGUUCAUAUAUCUAUUUACAGCUUUGACAACCAUUUAUAUAAGAUUGAGGAGGAUGGGUUAAUAAUUAAAUUAUCCCUGAUAGGUGGAAAAUGUGCUGUUACAACUCUCCCCAUGUUGCAACCAUACCCGGUCUCCUCCUAAUAAAAUGAUUAAAAAUCUAUCAGUAUUUUUUGUCUAUUAAAAUCUAUAUCCGUAUAAAAAUCUAAGAAUAUCAUCUAAAAUCAAAGAGUAUUUGCCGGUAGUGCGUUUGACUGAGGGACUUUUGUAUUAAAAUCAGUGGAGGACGGGUUGGAGACGUAUCCGGAAGUCGAGCGACAAAAGGCAGGAUGCUUUAUAACUGAGCAUUUCCUAAUAAUAUUAACUUAUUUAGAUCUAAUAAAUAAGCACGUGCUAGUUAUUUAAAUAAAAUAUGACGCUGCGUCAAAGAGCUUAAAUCUUGCAAUUUUGGAAGUGAAACUCUUUAGGCACAAUACCCUGAACACUAUUUAGGCUACUGAAAAGUUUCUUCAGUAACAGAGCUGUGGCGAUGGAGCAGCAGAAUGUAGUGGAGGCGGCUGGAGAGAGGGAGUCAGAUGCGGCAGAUGUGAUCGCGGAGCAGCCGUCCCUCUCUUUUCCAGAGGUGUUCCGCAUGAUUCAAGCAGGAGAGGAGGUUCCUGGACUCCAAAAGCUGGACAUAAAACCUUGUAAUGUACAGCCCACGGUUUCUCAAAUGCCCAGAAAGUCUAAACCAUGGGAAAAAUGAUUGCUUCCUAAUUCUAAAUUGUGGACUGAUUUACAACAUAUUUUGCUUUUAUUCAAGUCACAAAUUAAGUACUUUUUUUUUCAAGUAAAUUAUUUUAAUACAUAGCAAAAGCGGGAUGCUGAAUGGAAAAUAAAGCAUGCCUAACUUUUUCUGAUUUUGCAUCAAAAGCUGCCUGAAGAUGGUGGUAUUUGCAGCUCAACAGCUUUGGCCAGUUAAGACAAACCCAAAGCCUCUCAUGACUGUCAAGUGGUUCAUCAUGGUCUCAUGUGCUUGUGAAAGGGAAAUGCAAAAGGUUGACACACAUCCUGCUUCAGAGCUUAUUAGAGGAAGUGAACUUCACUCACAACUGGUCAACUAGCAGUCAAAUGUACAGAUCAGAAACUAGAUAACGCAUACCCGACUGCUGUAUUUUAUUUUUUUUAACUACAGAAUGAAUGGAUCAGAAUAGUUUGCUUAUGUUUUAAUAAAAGUUUAGUCACUGGCAAGUCAGAACUCAGUGAUCCGCUUUAUAUAAACAGCCUUUGAUAAGUACUUUAUUUGUCUUUCACAAAAAUAAUUUUGUUUUGAUGGUCAAUAAAAAGCUGAAAUUUAAA